Gymnogyps californianus (California condor) is the source of this 603-nucleotide long non-coding RNA. RefSeq lists it as uncharacterized. The transcript is spliced from 6 exons. The record is from RefSeq and is a predicted model, not a curated record. NCBI's taxonomy places the organism in Eukaryota, Metazoa, Chordata, Aves, Accipitriformes, Cathartidae.
AUUGUUGCUGCCGGGCGCUGGCAGCCGGGGGCAGUUGUGGCAGGGGAGCGGGCGGAGGAGAAGCCGGCGCCGGUUGCUAGGAGACUGCAGAGCUGCAAGGUGAACACCACCACCACCAUCGGCGGCUCCCCGAGGCUGGCUUCCCACCCUGCGCAGGUGUAUCAGCCUGGAUGUAGUCUCCCUGUAAGGAGUGUGAAAUUUACAGCAGAAGAAUUACAGUUUAAUACUGAAAAAGCUCUUCCUUAUCUGAACCAUCAUUCAAAACGCAGGAUGAAAGUAGCCGAAUAGAAGUUUUCUGUCACAUUGUCUGCAGAACUCCUAGAAGAUUCUUCUGAAACUUGGGCAUAUCUGUCUCAGGCUGCCCCUAAAAAGAUGAAUCUGGCAAAAUGAACUCAAAACACACAAAGAGAAGACAUUCGAGACUGAUCUGCAAGGUUUUCAGAUUCACUGAUAACAUGCAAACCAGAAUCUGCUUACCAUUAUCUGUUCCAGAUACAAUGUCAGAGCAAACAAGGGAGACUUAGAAGUAAUGUGACUCAAAAAAGAAGUAUUUUGAAAGAACGACUUACUGGGGAACAAAGUUAGAAGAUGAAAGAAGUGAAG